This 253-nucleotide ribosomal RNA is filed under the name uncultured bacterium. Its description in RNAcentral is "partial 16S ribosomal RNA". It matches the Rfam family "Bacterial small subunit ribosomal RNA", at positions 524 to 776 of the family's 1533-position model. The record is from RNAcentral.
UACGUAGGGGGCUAGCGUUGUCCGGAUUUAUUGGGCGUAAAGAGCGUGUAGGCGGCUUCACAGGUCCGCUGUGAAAACUCGAGGCUCAACCUCGAGCUGUCGGUGGAAACCGUGUGGCUAGAGUCCGGAAGAGGAGAGUGGAAUUCCCGGUGUAGCGGUGAAAUGCGCAGAUAUCGGGAAGAACACCCGUGGCGAAGGCGGCUCUCUGGGACGGUACUGACGCUGAGACGCGAAAGCGUGGGGAGCGAACAGG